GGAUGUGAGGGCGAUCUGGCUGCGACAUCUGUCACCCCAUUGAUCGCCAGAGUUGAUUCGGCUGAUCUGGCUGGCUAGGCGGGUGUCCCCAUCCUCCCUCACCAAUCCAUGUGUGUCCCUCCCGGUCGGUUGGUCAAAGAGGAUGACCUUCCCCCCACCGAGGAGAGGACUGGUCUUCGGUCAAGGGUAUACGAGUAGCUGCGCUCCCCUGCUAGAAUCUCCAAACAAGCUCUCAAAAUGAUGGACACAUACUUAGGUGGGUGCAGGAACAAUUAACAUGAUAAUGAAGGAAUUUGCGGUAUCUGUCC
Myotis lucifugus (little brown bat) is the source of this 308-nucleotide unclassified non-coding RNA. Its record names the gene 7SK. It matches the Rfam family "7SK RNA". Rfam says of the family: 7SK was discovered as an abundant small nuclear RNA in the mid-70s but a possible function has only recently been suggested. Two independent studies have found that 7SK RNA binds the CDK9/cyclin T complex (known as elongation factor P-TEFb). Lineage: Eukaryota; Metazoa; Chordata; Mammalia; Chiroptera; Vespertilionidae. The record is from Ensembl.